Molecule: ribosomal RNA, 55 nt
Filed under: Paenibacillus glycinis
Lineage: Bacteria; Bacillati; Bacillota; Bacilli; Caryophanales; Paenibacillaceae
Description: partial 23S ribosomal RNA
Source: RNAcentral
GAAGCGCGGCAACGUGUGGAGCUGACGAAUACUAAUCGGUCGAGGGCUUAUCCAA